RNAcentral lists this transfer RNA (86 nucleotides) under Globodera rostochiensis. It matches the Rfam family "tRNA". From Rfam's summary of the family: Transfer RNA (tRNA) molecules are approximately 80 nucleotides in length. Their secondary structure includes four short double-helical elements and three loops (D, anti-codon, and T loops). The record is from Rfam by way of RNAcentral. Lineage: Eukaryota; Metazoa; Nematoda; Chromadorea; Rhabditida; Heteroderidae.
GCUUCGGUGGCUCAGUCGGUAGAGCGUCAGUCUCAUAAUCCAUUUGAGUGAUCUGAAGGUCGUGAGUUCGACCCUCACCCGGAGCA